This 69-nucleotide transfer RNA is filed under the name Marmota monax (woodchuck). Its description in RNAcentral is "tRNA.Met". The record is from RNAcentral. Lineage: Eukaryota; Metazoa; Chordata; Mammalia; Rodentia; Sciuridae.
GGUAUAUAGCUCAGUUGGUAGAGUGCUUGUUUCAUAUGCACAAGGCACUGGGUUUAAUCCUCAGCACCA